RNAcentral lists this transfer RNA (86 nucleotides) under Bacteroides mediterraneensis. RNAcentral's name for it is "tRNA-OTHER". It matches the Rfam family "tRNA". Rfam says of the family: Transfer RNA (tRNA) molecules are approximately 80 nucleotides in length. Their secondary structure includes four short double-helical elements and three loops (D, anti-codon, and T loops). The record is from RNAcentral. Lineage: Bacteria; Pseudomonadati; Bacteroidota; Bacteroidia; Bacteroidales; Bacteroidaceae.
UCCGAGAUUGUUCAAUGGAAGAACGGCACCAGUCUGAGGGCAUAAAGAUUUGGGUGCAGGUGGCGGUUCGAAUCCGUCUCUCGGAG